GAUGAACGCUGGCGGUAUGCCUAACACAUGCAAGUCGUACGAGAGUUUUUAACUCUAGUGGCGGACGGGUGAGUAACACGUGAGAAUUUGCCUUUAGGAGGGGGACAACAAUCGGAAACGAAUGCUAAUACCCCAUAUGCUUUCGAGUGAAAUGGAUUUUAUCCGCCUAGAGAGAAGCUCGCGGCUGAUUAGCUUGUUGGUAAGGUAAGAGCUUACCAAGGCGACGAUCAGUAUCUGGUUUGAGAGGACGAUCAGACACACUGGAACUGAGACACGGUCCAGACUCCUACGGGAGGCAGCAGUGGGGAAUUUUCCGCAAUGGGCGAAAGCCUGACGGAGCAAUACCGCGUGAGGGAAGAAUGCCUAUGGGUUGUAAACCUCUUUUUCAGGGUAGGAAGUACAAAUGACGUGUACCU
Molecule: ribosomal RNA, 416 nt
Filed under: uncultured bacterium
Lineage: Bacteria
Description: bacterial SSU rRNA
Rfam family: Bacterial small subunit ribosomal RNA
Source: RNAcentral